GGAGUUAGCCGGUGCUUCUUCUGUGAGUGAUGUCCUUCCUGCCGGUUAUUGACCCGCAGGCCUUCUUCCUCACUGAAAGUGCUUUACAACCCGAAGGCCUUCUUCACACACGCGGCAUGGCUGGAUCAGGGUUGCCCCCAUUGUCCAAUAUUCCCCACUGCUGCCUCCCGUAGGAGUCUGGGCCGUGUCUCAGUCCCAGUGUGGCUGAUCAUCCUCUCAGACCAGCUACGGAUCGUCGCCUUGGUGAGCCGUUACCUCACCAACCAGCUAAUCCGACAUAGGCUCAUCCGAUAGCGCGAGGCCCGAAGGUCCCCCGCUUUCCCCCGUAGGGCGUAUGCGGUAUUAGCCUGGGUUUCCCCAGGUUAUCCCCCACUACCGGGCAGAUUCCUAUGCAUUACUCACCCGUCCGCCGCUCGCCACCAGGGAGCAAGCUCCCCGUGCUGCCGCCGACUCGUCAUGUGUAGUCGUCGCGCCGACGCGUCUACUACUGAGCGACGAGUACAACUACUACGUACGUACGAGGACGGGCGGUCGGACGACGGACGGCGACGUA
This 553-nucleotide ribosomal RNA is filed under the name uncultured bacterium. RNAcentral describes it as "partial 16S ribosomal RNA". The record is from RNAcentral.